Molecule: ribosomal RNA, 497 nt
Filed under: uncultured bacterium
Lineage: Bacteria
Description: partial 16S ribosomal RNA
Rfam family: Bacterial small subunit ribosomal RNA
Source: RNAcentral
GAUGAACGCUGGCGGCGUGCCUAAUACAUGCAAGUCGAGCGAACAGACGAGGAGCUUGCUCCUCUGACGUUAGCAGCGGACGGGUGAGUAACACGUGGAUAACCUACCUAUAAGACUGGGAUAACUUCGGGAAACCGGAGCUAAUACCGGAUAAUAUAUUGAACCGCAUGGUUCAAUAGUGAAAGACGGUUUUGCUUUCACUUAUAGAUGGAUCCGCGCCGCAUUAGCUAGUUGGUAAGGUAACGGCUUACCAAGGCAACGAUGCGUAGCCGACCUGAGAGGGUGAACGGCCACCCUGGCACUGAGACACGGUCCAGACUCCUACGGGAGGCAGCAGUAGGGAAUCUUCCGCAAUGGGCGAGAGCUGGACGGAGCAACGCCGCGUGAGUGAUGAAGGUCUUCGGAUCGUAAAACUCUGUUAUUAGGGAAGAACAAAUGUGUAAGUAACUAUGCACGUCUUGACGGUACCUAAUCAGAAAGCCACGGCUAACUACGUG